This is a long non-coding RNA of Physeter macrocephalus (sperm whale), 718 nucleotides long. RefSeq lists it as uncharacterized. The transcript is spliced from 3 exons. The record is from RefSeq and is a predicted model, not a curated record. NCBI's taxonomy places the organism in Eukaryota, Metazoa, Chordata, Mammalia, Artiodactyla, Physeteridae.
CACAGCGGCCCAGCGUUGCGUCUCUCUUGACGUCGUGGCGAGGUCGUUAGCUCCGCAGGGCCCCGGACGCGACCACGGGGAGGCAGAAGGAAGUUGCUUCUGUAAAUUAGGUGUGAAUUCUUUUUGGAGCAAGGAAGACAUCCUGGACUGUGGAAAGAGGUUAACAAGAGGCCUGUGCACAGGACUCUGCACUUGUUCAAGAGAAGAAUCUAAAGAAAUCCAAGCAGGACAGGUAGUUCUAAAAGCCAUGACCCAGGUAAGUUGAAGUUUCCUCUAUCCUUGAAAUAAUAUCAACAUUUGUGUUCUUUAUUCUGAGACUUCCCUGUCUGGCUGAGCCCCCAUUCAGUAACUUGCUCCCAGUUCCUCCAUUGCAGAGAAUGAGCAAUGUUGCCUCACCUCCCUUUGUGGCCCUCUCUUCUCCAACAGUGUUCACAUACGUGCACAAUGUUCUUACCAGAGCACCAAUGGAGCGGAAAUAUAUUCUCUUGAGAGAAAUUUGAGAGCUGCCCUUAUCAGAACCAUGGUUGAAUACAGCCAAAGAUAAGAUACCUUUGAUCUUGUCCAUUAACCCAAGUACUUUCCUUUUUUUCUUCUAUUUUAAAAUAUCACCCCCUCUUUAAAAAUCAUAAAACAUUUCACAGUAUUGAAAAAAAAUACAUACAAAAACGUGUCUAUAACAUAUAUAUGGUAUAAAGAAUAAUAAAAUGAGUUGAUAUAU